CUUAAUUAAAAAAACGUCCUUAUUUCGUCGAAAACUUAACUUUUGACUUAUUUAAUCAUCGAUCGUAAAUAUAGGGACUUGUUUGAUUUUUUUUUUUAAUUCUUAUUUCCCACUCUAAACUAUAGACCUGAUCACCUUUUUUUAGUAGAUCUAAGCACUCUUAAAAAAAUAUACAUAGAGAGUUAAGCUUAAAAAAUAUAUGUAUAUUUGUGAUGAUUUUUUUUUUUUAAAUUUAGUAUUUCCUUAUUUGUGUUGGUUUGUUAUUUCUUUCUUUACUUUUUUUUUUUAUUUUGAAUUUUUA
This 301-nucleotide unclassified non-coding RNA is filed under the name Hevea brasiliensis (rubber tree). The record is from RNAcentral. Lineage: Eukaryota; Viridiplantae; Streptophyta; Magnoliopsida; Malpighiales; Euphorbiaceae.